CCUACGGGAGACUGCAGUGAGGAAUAUUGGUCAAUGGACGAGAGUCUGAACCAGCCAAGUAGCGUGAAGGAUGACUGCCCUAUGGGUUGUAAACUUCUUUUAUAAAGGAAUAAAACGCGGCACGUGUGCCUUUUUGCAUGUACUUUAUGAAUAAGGAUCGGCUAACUCCGUGCCAGCAGCCGCGGUAAUACGGAGGAUCCGAGCGUUAUCCGGAUUUAUUGGGGUUAAAGGGAGCGUAGAUGGGUUGUUAAGUCAGUUGUGAAAGUUUGCGGCUCAACCGUAAAAUUGCAAUUGAAACUGGCAGUCUGGAGUACAGUUGAGGUAGGCGGAAUUCGUGGUGUAGCGGUGAAAUGCUUAGAUAUCACGAAGAACCACGAUUGCGAAGGCAGCUUACUAAACUGUGACUGACAUUGAUGCUCGAAAGUGUGGGUAUCAAACAGGAUUAGAUACCCGAGUAGUC
Molecule: ribosomal RNA, 460 nt
Filed under: uncultured bacterium
Lineage: Bacteria
Description: partial 16S ribosomal RNA
Rfam family: Bacterial small subunit ribosomal RNA
Source: RNAcentral